RNAcentral lists this ribosomal RNA (560 nucleotides) under uncultured Leotiomycetes. RNAcentral's name for it is "eukaryotic LSU rRNA". The stretch from base 205 to 358 matches the Rfam family "5.8S ribosomal RNA". The record is from RNAcentral. Lineage: Eukaryota; Fungi; Ascomycota; Leotiomycetes.
UCCGUAGGUGAACCUGCGGAAGGAUCAUUAAGAGUUUAGGGGCGCUCGGCCCCGAAAACCCGACUUUAACCCUGUGAACUUGUUCUCUGUUGCUUCGGCGGGCCCGCCCUCCGCGGCCCGGCUUCCCUCGGGAGGCUGGAGCGCCCGCCAGAAGACUAUUUUCUCCCGUUUUGGUGAAUGUCUGAAACAAUCACAAGUUAUUAAAACUUUCAACAACGGAUCUCUUGGUUCUCGCAUCGAUGAAGAACGCAGCGAAAUGCGAUAAGUAAUGUGAAUUGCAGAAUUCAGUGAAUCAUCGAAUCUUUGAACGCACAUUGCGCCCCUCGGUAUUCCGACGGGCACGCCUGCGUGAACGUCAUUUAAACGCUCGAGCCCGGCUCGGUGAUGGGGUUGGCCCGGGAGGGCCUCCGCCCGCAAGCGAACGUUGGUCGGUGGGAAGAGUCGCCCCGAGUAGUGAACACGCCUCGAAGGCUUCUUUCCGCGGCCCCUUCUCCUUUAAAACUUGACUUCACGUCAGACGAGGUUACCCGCUGAACUUAAGCAUAUCAAUAAGCGGAGGA